This is a non-coding RNA of Labrus bergylta (ballan wrasse), 2475 nucleotides long. The record is from RefSeq and is a predicted model, not a curated record. NCBI's taxonomy places the organism in Eukaryota, Metazoa, Chordata, Actinopteri, Labriformes, Labridae.
CUACUGUGGAUGUAUCACGCUUCUGCGAAUCCUCAGAUGUCUACACGAUCAGACCUGAGCCUCUCUUAAAGACGCCGCGUGAACCUUGGGAGGUCAAAAUGGCCCUGCCACCACAAAAACACCUCCAUCAUGUUCUUACGCUGUCUCAACCAUCAAGUUUGGCUUCAAGAUAGACAUAACAAGCGCUACCACUGGAACCUACGACAUAAACAUCAAAGAAGAGGCCCAUCCUGAGACCGAAGUGACACGCUCUGUGGUCCACUCCAACCAAACCUCAUCACAUAAGAUCAAACACCUGAAGCCCUGUACUGAAUACAAACAUGCUGUGGAAUUUAAUGACAGUGCUGGCAACAUAACGCUCUGUAGCUACACUGGAAAUAAAACUUCUGAACUCACAACUCAAAUGGAAAUGAAAGACAUUGAAGACGGUAGCUGCAUCCCAGGAUAUGUUUGUUACAGGAGUGAUUGGAACAUUGGCUCUUCAAUGUCAGCAUCCAAUAAUGUUGCAGCAGAGCCAUGCCGCACUAACUCUACAGAGUUUUGUAUCAAACCUGGUAUCGAUGACAUUUGCCCAAACUUGACCACAACCUUCACUUCAGCAAUGUGUAUGGACUCUUCCUUCGAAAAGAUCAAACGCAACGUUGAUUAUUUGAAUGUAAGUGGAUUACAACCGGAAAUACCAACUGAACUUCCUAUAAAUAAAAUACAAACAAAAUUACCUCAAAACUGCAGCAAUCUCAACAUUGUACACACGUGUCUGGAUAUUGAUGAAUUCAGUAAGCCCAUUAAGCCAUUGACUGAGCUGGAGCCCUUCACAAACUACAGCUGUAUGGGUCAGAUCAAGGAAAACAAUGUUACCAUAAAGAACACAACUGCUAUCAAGUUCAACAUUGACUGUGAUCUUACAACUACAUUCACAACGCCGUUUGUGACCGACACUUCUGUUAAGUUGAGUUGGACUACAACCAAUCAGAAAUGUAAAGAUGUCUUAACCAAGUCUACAAAGUUGUCUUUUAUCUGCAGUUGUGUCCAUCCUCAUUCCAAACAUAUACGCAGUAAACGUUCACGCGGAGGAUCAUGUUUAAUUGAUGAACUGGAACCGUAUACCAACUAUAAAUGUGGUGUUGAACCCCGCUACAAGAAAAAGUUUUUGUCAAAAUAACGUCACCUGUUGAGACUCUCGUUGGCAUACCAGCUGAUAUCUCUACAUCGUCGGUGACUCUACUAGGGCAUAAUGAGAUAAAAGUAACCUGCACUCUUCUAGGAAGAUUUUAUGGACCUGGAGGGUAUUACAUUGCACGUCUUCGUUAUAACGGUGACAUUGUGAUGACCCAAAAAAACACAAAAGAAUGUCUUUUUACAUUCAAAGAUCUGAGCUACUCUACAACAUACAUCCUGGAGGUGGCUGCUGGCAAUAAAGAAUUUGAGGGAAAUCUGAAGACCAAAGAAGUUAUCACUCAAUACAACGACAUUGCUGUCAUUGUUGUGAUCAUCUGUGUGAUUGUUCUGGUCGUCGUCGCCGUCGUCAGCAUGGCCUAUGUCCUUUGUAGGAGAAGAUCCCAAAAUGAUGUGAACAAAGAUGUGAUGCUUGAAUUAAAUCCAAUUUAUGAAAAUGUUCCUAGAUCUUAAUGCCAUCAUCAAGACGCACUGAUGAAUAAAGGCCGGAUGGAAGGGAUCACCAACCGAAUCACCAAAUUCACAUUUCUGCACGUUUCUGUUUACACUGACUCGUAAACUGCUUGAAUAGGAUUUGCAUUUUUCAUGAUAGCUCUCUCAUAUCCUGCCACUCCGUUUUCCUUACUUUGAUUAUACUGUAUGUACUUAUAUCUGAAGUUUAAAUGAGUCCUUUGUGACAGUUGAAACAUGCUAUAGAUGACACGAGAUGAGGCACACCUUUGUCAAAAGGUGUCUGAAUAUUUUGCAGUCCUCUCCUCAUCUGUGAUAACCAAAGCAAGCUUUUAAACUGUUGCUAUUUAGAAUGGAUUGCACAUUAUUAUACCCUUUUUUUCUUUUCUUGUAAUCAUUUUAGAUUGUCCAAACUAUAUUUCUGGACCUGUUAUUCAUGUAUUCAAAGAUGUAAUAAUUGUAGAAAGAAACAAGUGAAAACUGCAGCUUUUACGUCCUGUUGAGACAAAGAUGUAAUGAAGAGGCAACUUCUGCAACCUGCAGGCGAUGAAUAGGACGGGUUGAGUUUUCAUCUCUUUAAUUGUAUUCAUUCAUUUUUUAUACAUCUUUUCUUUAUGGAUUGUUUGAGAUGAGAUUUAAAGGAAGAAUAUGCAAUUUUUCACACUUAAAUGUAGCAGAAAUCAAAAUAUGCCCUGAAAAUUUUUCUGUGAGUCAUGACUGUCUGCAAUGAGUGUGACACCCGAGUCCGCUGUGAUGUUGUCCUAGCCGUAUCUACAGCGUGUUUACAUGGACGGGACGGCCGGUUGGUUCAUCCCCUUAUGUAUAAAAGUUGUUUAAUUGAGGGACCAG